This is an RNA transcript of Ziziphus jujuba (common jujube), 1418 nucleotides long. It is a transcript of the gene named mechanosensitive ion channel protein 3, chloroplastic, with no coding region annotated. The record is from RefSeq and is a predicted model, not a curated record. The transcript has 9 exons. Lineage: Eukaryota; Viridiplantae; Streptophyta; Magnoliopsida; Rosales; Rhamnaceae.
AUGACCAAGCUCAAUCUUGAUGGUUCUGUGAACAAACAUAAGACAAGGCUUGUUGUCAAGGACUAUACCCGGAUGUUUGGGGUAGAUUUCUCUAAAACUUUUGCCCCAGUUGCCAGUGUGGAUUAUUUUGCAUUUUUAAUCUCUGCCAGAGCAUUGGAUCCUGUAGUCUUACCAUCAAAAGCAAGCCAUGCUGUCAAGCAGCGACUUUUAAAUUUGUACGAUCACUAUCAAUGGUUCUGGCAUUUAUCUAUUGUUUGUCAAGCUUAAUUCUACAAGCAUAAAAAUUCUUUACUGAGGUUAAGUGACUCAAGUGAUGCAAUAAAUGUGGGCUUCAAUUUUACUGGGAAAGCUAUUUAUUCUGCAGUAUGGAUUGUUGUUGUAGUGUAAUUGUUUAUUGAGUUGUUGGGAUUCUCUGCCUAGAAAUGGGUAACUGCUGGGGGUCUUGGAACAGUAUUGCUGACCCUCACAGUUUGCGAGAUAUUUACAAACUUCCUUUCGACUGUAAUGAUCAAUUCUACACGGCCACUUGUUGUGAAUGAGUGGAUUUAAACUAGAUUGAAGGCUAUGAAGUUUUUGGUACAGUCCUUCAUGUGCGUUGGUGGUCAUCAACUAUUAUAAAAGGAGAUGAUCGUGAAGCAGUUCACAUUCCGAAUCACAAAUUCACUGUAAAUGUUGUGAGGAAUCUUAGCUAGAAGACUCGUGCAAAUCAAGACCCGUCUAGCUAUCAGGCUUUGAUAUCUUGCUUUGUCAAAACCUCACGUUUUAACGAGUACCUCUGUGUCAAGGAAGCGAUGCUCUUGGAUCUUCUAAGAGUCAUUCAGCCAUCAACGAUUCGGCUUGCCACACUCAUCCGCACGGUUCAAAAAAUAUACAGUGAGGCUAACCUGGAAAAUGUACUAUUCUUAAAUAGAAUUUUUACUCGUAACAGGGAAAUUGUGAACCGACCAUAUCUACUUAUUGAACCAUCUUACAAAAUAAAUGGUGAUGAUAAAAGUAAGGCUUCAACUAGUCCAAUAUAUACAAAUGAAGACAAAAAGGCUCAGCCUGAAGGAGCCUCAACAUCUGACUCCAGGGAAGAUUUGAAGCGUGGAUCAUUGUCGAGUGUUGAUUUAAAAAUUGAUGAUCAGGUUCAAGUGAAAUUUAGCGCCAACUCCAACACAAUCUCUAAGCAUUCAGAAAUAUCAACAUCCAAUCCUCAAAUCAGGAAUUUGGCAUCUGAAUCUCACAAGCAUGAUAGUACAGAUAAAUCAACACAAAGAGCAACAUCAAAGAUACCCCCUAUUAUGUCUGAAUCUAGCAAUGGGAAGAGAGAUAUUAAAUCAUCUGUUUCACACUCAAAGCAAGAUGGCGACAACAUUCAAUGUAAUAAUAUUGCAGGUACUAGGUUUAACUUCAAAAUUCAACACCGCUAGCCGAUU